This 68-nucleotide transfer RNA is filed under the name Albinaria caerulea. Its description in RNAcentral is "tRNA-Ser(UNC)". Lineage: Eukaryota; Metazoa; Mollusca; Gastropoda; Stylommatophora; Clausiliidae. The record is from RNAcentral.
UUAUAAUUUCUUUUAUGAAUAGUAAGAUUUUGAAAAUCUUAAUAGGCAUCCAAAUUUGCCCUUAUAAU